AAGUCGUAACAAGGUUUCCGUAGGUGAACCUGCGGAAGGAUCAUCAAUAAUCCAAAUGACUGUUGGCCUCAAAAACCAAUGGUCUAACCUUCUUGUGAACUGUUUAAUGUUUUUUGGUUGGGAGUAUAACUGAGAUGUCGGCUUUUGUUGACGGAUCAACUCCCAAUUGAAUAUCUUUAUACCAACUAUUUUAUUUUUAAAGUUGAUUAUUUACAGGUAACUGUACUAAUAUAAAUACAACUUAUAGCGAUGGAUCUCUAGGCUCUG
This 267-nucleotide unclassified non-coding RNA is filed under the name fungal sp. RNAcentral's name for it is "partial internal transcribed spacer region". The stretch from base 1 to 46 matches the Rfam family "Eukaryotic small subunit ribosomal RNA", at positions 1786 to 1831 of the family's 1831-position model. Lineage: Eukaryota; Fungi. The record is from RNAcentral.